Molecule: RNA transcript, 2652 nt
Organism: Paramacrobiotus metropolitanus
Lineage: Eukaryota; Metazoa; Tardigrada; Eutardigrada; Parachela; Macrobiotidae
Exons: 5
Source: RefSeq, a predicted model, not a curated record
UGACAGUGUCCUUGACGAAUCAAAUUGUCAUUUACGGGAUAAUGAUCAUUAUAAGGAUUACGUUGUAUACUUAUGCGACAACAGCCAGUGGUAGUCUCUCAAAGGGCGACGCCGUGCACCCACAAGAACAACGAUGUUGUCUGUAUAAAUAUCAAAGUUCGUAUUAUGCUUCGCUUGUGAAGAUAUAUUCUUAUUUAUUUUUUUAUUAUAUUAUGAACGUUAUCGGCACAGACGUUAUACGCAAUUUCUGACAUAGUGUAGUGGUAUACACUUUAUUAGACUUUUUGUCGUUAACCACCGGAAAUGGACACUACAAACUGUCAGCUUGAGCCACGACUGCCACAAUCAUGGGCAUUUCUGCUGUGUGUCAGUGUCUGGCAGUUAUCGGCGAGCUGCCGGCGUGCCACUGCCUGUCCGACGAUGGUGCAGCGAGAAUGCGCAGACCCCGCAUGCGCAUACUCCAUCAUAAAGCUCCAGCAACUUGUCCAGGAGGCGGCCCAUAAUGCCACGACGACCUCCACCAUCCGGCUGCCCUUUGACCGCGCUCCGCCCGUCGAACCCCUGACCGUGGAACGCCAAGUGGUCCGCAUUGACGCGGGGGAGCCGGCCGUCUUCCACUGCCCAUUGUACAACGUCACCAGCCUGACCCACCUCCCGGACAUGGUGUGGUACCACAACAGCAAGGUGCUGCGCAUGCAACUGACCAAUCAAGCGCCCACAGACUUGGCUGGCGCUCCCUACACCAUGAUGCAAACCGUGCACUCCCUGCGCCCCAUCCCGCACAUGCCCGGUUUAACUAUGGCCACCAUGUCCCUCUCCGUCCGCCACUUCCCUGGAGCGCCACCGGCCAGAUCCGGUGCGCGCAGGGCUGCGGUCCCCUGGACGAGACGCCCACCACGCUACGCGGCCGCUUCUGCACCUACAGCUACCAGAUAUUCCAGUUAGUGGUGCUGCCGACGGCUGGCGAGCUCUUUAUUCACCGGCUGGCCAACGCCACGGUCCAGCGCUUCUCUGACGCCCGUUUUGAGUGCGCGGCCAACACCUGCCUAACCAGCCGGUGGCCUUUAUCUGGCGCUUCAACGGCCACAUCAUCAGCGCCCCGACUGACCAUCCCCUCUCUGCGCUGGCCCGCAGCCGCCUGCUGCGGCGUCAGGAGCAGCCGCAGCUAGUGGCGCAGCGUUUCCCGCUCUUCGGGUCUCUUCCGCGGAGCAGUUCGCCUUCAGCGUCACCGCCAAUAUUUCCACCAACACGGCCAACAGCACGCUGACCAUCAGCCAGGUGGACCUCCACACGUCGGCGCGGGUGGAGUGCUGGGUGCGGCCCAACGCCGACGCCGAUACGUGGCGCGUGCAGACCGCCUAUCUGCACGUCUCCAGGGUCACCAGCGCCGCGUAGAACAUACCCGACGUUUAUUCUGUUGUGACUGCGUUCAGCAAAUAACAGCCAACUCAGAACUGACCCGGAGUCCCGGACCACCGGUUUAUGCGCCACGAAACCGGAACUCCGCAGAUAAUCAGUGGACUGUCGCCGUUUGGAAACAAAAUAACCAUUUGCCGACGACCGGUGUAGAGAAAACCAGAAAAGCAACAUCAACGCUCACAGAUAAUCAAUCCCAUUUCCCUGGGCGCGUUCAUCGCAGAUCCCGGCGGAGAUGGCGCAGCGCCGUCUGCACCCGUUCAUCCGGGGACGCUCCCGCCACCGCCUCGCACACGCCGAGGACGUCCAGCACUUUGGCAUGAUCCCGACUUACUCCUUGACUUCCUGUCCGCCGCCGCCCACCAGCGUCCCGACGGCCACCAUCCAGCGAUACCGCGCCUCAUCCUCCACCACCAACCCCGGGACCUUGCCCAGCUCCGUCGCGGCGAACAGCAGCUGCAGCAUCUCCUCGGCGUUCUUCUGCCGCCCGAGGAGGACAGCGUAGUUCAAGAUAACGCUGGCGCGCGCCGUCUGCACGUUCUUCUCCACACCGGACGUCGAUUCCGCCACGGCGGAGAGCAGCGCCUUCCGCUGAUCCGUCACGAAGGCCAGCCCGGUGGCGCCGGCCACGAAGAGGUUGCAGACGAUGCGCAGGGAUAACUGCUGGUUGGCGCUGGACCGCGGAGAACGGAUCAAUGGGAGGAGGAAGUCCAGGAAGAAGCCGCACCGUUCCGCGCCGCAAAAGUACUCGCUGACGGCCGGUUGGCGGAUGGCUAGGCGCAGCAGGUCCAGGGCGGGGAACAUCACACCUGCGACAGAAAAUUCGCCAACGGAUACGUACCUUCGGGAAGGUCGAGCGUUUUGCCGAGGAAGUUGAGCAGGUCGGCGGAGGGCCGAAUGGGCGACACGUCCUUCUGCAUGUACGGCAUCAACUGGGCGCCCGCGUCCUCCGGCCACUCCAUGCCCUCGUUCUCGAACGUCUCCCGCAGUUUCUCUACAAAGUUAUACAAAAAUAAUCAAAAAUCCUUUUUUUUCCUUCAUUUUUUCUUCGGUACUGACAAUCCUUCAUCAUUUUUUAUACAGGCAAAAAUUCUUAGGUUUCCCUUAGUCAAAAUGUUUUCCUAUUUUGGUGGUUAGUAAAAAUGAAAUGGUGUCAUUUUCCCCCGUAGAUAAAUGAUCAAAUAAUCGAAUAAAUUCUUCUUCCAUUUAUUAAUUAACGAACAUGUUUAUCCCACU